GGCAUGCGGCGUGCUAUACAUGCAAGUCGAGCGGACAGAUGGGAGCUUGCUCCCUGAUGUUCAGCGGCGGACGGGUGAGUAACACGUGGGUAACCUGCCUGUAAGACUGGGAUAACUCCGGGAAACCGGGGCUAAUACCGGAUGCUUGAUUGAACCGCAUGGUUCAAUUAUAAAAGGUGGCUUUUAGCUACCACUUACAGAUGGACCCGCGGCGCAUUAGCUAGUUGGGGAGGUAACGGCUCACCAAGGCAACGAUGCGUAGCCGACCUGAGAGGGUGAUCGGCCACACUGGGACUGAAACACGGCCCAAACUCCUACGGGAGGCAGCAGUAGGGAAUCUUCCGCAAUGGACGAAAGUCUGACGGAGCAACGCCGCGUGAGUGAUGAAGGUUUUCGGAUCGUAAAACUCUGUUGUUAGGGAAGAACAAGUACCGUUCGAAUAGGGCGGUACCUUGACGGUACCUAACCAAAAAGCCACGGCUAACUACGUGCCAGCAGCCGCGGUAAUACGUAGGUGGCAAGCGUUGUCCGGAAUUAUUGGGCGUAAAGCGCGCGCAGGCGGUUUCUUAAGUCUGAUGUGAAAGCCCCCGGCUCAACCGGGGAGGGUCAUUGGAAACUGGGGAACUUGAGUGCAGAAAAGGAGAGUGGAAUUCCACGUGUAGCGGUGAAAUGCGUAGAGAUGUGGAGGAACACCAGUGGCGAAGGCGACUCUCUGGUCUGUAACUGACGCUGAGGCGCGAAAGCGUGGGGGAGCGAACAGGAUUAGAUACCCUGGUAGUCCACGCCGUAAACGAUGAGUGCUAAGUGUUAGAGGGUUUCCGCCCUUUAGUGCUGCAGCAAACGCAUUAAGCACUCCGCCUGGGGAGUACGGUCGCAAGACUGAAACUCAAAGGAAUUGACGGGGGCCCGCACAGCGGUGGAGCAUGUGGUUUAAUUCGAAGCAACGCGAG
This 950-nucleotide ribosomal RNA is filed under the name Bacillus licheniformis. RNAcentral describes it as "bacterial SSU rRNA". It matches the Rfam family "Bacterial small subunit ribosomal RNA", at positions 34 to 965 of the family's 1533-position model. Lineage: Bacteria; Bacillati; Bacillota; Bacilli; Caryophanales; Bacillaceae. The record is from RNAcentral.